Molecule: ribosomal RNA, 519 nt
Filed under: uncultured bacterium
Lineage: Bacteria
Description: bacterial SSU rRNA
Rfam family: Bacterial small subunit ribosomal RNA
Source: RNAcentral
AGAGUUUGAUCCUGGCUCAGGAUGAACGCGGCGGCCGUGCUUAACACAUGCAAGUCGAACGGGACUUAUGUGAUUGAGGAUUCGUCCAAAUGAUCAUAAGUUUAGUGGCGAACGGGUGAGUAACGCGUGAGCAAUCUGCCUUGGAGUGGGGAAUAACAGUCCGAAAGGACUGCUAAUACCGCAUGAUGCAUUUGAGUCGCAUGGCUCUGAAUGCCAAAGAUUUAUCGCUCUGAGAUGAGCUCGCGUCUGAUUAGCUAGAUGGCGGGGUAACGGCCCACCAUGGCGACGAUCAGUAGCCGGACUGAGAGGUUGGCCGGCCACAUUGGGACUGAGACACGGCCCAGACUCCUACGGGAGGCAGCAGUGGGGAAUAUUGGGCAAUGGGCGCAAGCCUGACCCAGCAACGCCGCGUGAAGGAAGAAGGCUUUCGGGUUGUAAACUUCUUUUAACAGGGACGAACACAAUGACGGUACCUGUUGAAAUAAGCCACCCGGCUAACUACGUGCCAGCAGCCGCGGU